UGCUGCCGCUGCGCCGCCGCCGCCUCCUCCUCAGCGAGCGGCCGCGGCGGGAACGGAGGAGCCGCCGGGAAGUAGGAGCCGCCGCCCGGCGGGAAGCGCGGCGCCGCGUCGCCCUCAGGCCCGGCCGGCGGCAGCGGCGAGUGAGGUGCACGUGUGGUGGGAAGAAGCGAUUUCCAUUGAUGUUUUAGAUCACUUUAAUACUGUUUAUAAGCAAGAAUAAUGAAGAGUCACCAAAUAAAAAUUCAAACCUUAUCCAUGCUGAAGAGCGCCUGGUAUUGAGGAACCACAGCAUUUCGUGGCUCAGUGAGAAUCCGUACGAGGGUUUUCUCAUCGAGGCUGUGCAGGGGAACCACAACAGGCAAACGUCCCACGAACUCCGGGAUCAUGCCAAACUCAAUGAGAUCUCUGGCUUCCACGUGACGCAGCAAACGAUCCUUUUCUUCGAUAUCUUCAUGUGGAUUAGACUCUCCACUUAUAUUAGCGAGAUCAGCUGCUGCUGCAGCCCUUCUGCCUUUUCCCAUAUUAGCAGGGGUCCCAAAUCCCAGAUACUGCAAAACAAAUACGCUUACAGAACUAUCAUAGUUAGGUUUUCUUUAUGUAACUAAAUCAUGUUCCAUAUGCAUUAAAACAUCUGGAGUAACUGAUGAUGUCAUUACAUGUUAAUUCAAGCUCAAUAAAUUACUCGUAAUAAAGGCAGUCCCCUUGCACACAA
Long non-coding RNA from Columba livia (rock pigeon), 712 nucleotides. RefSeq lists it as uncharacterized. The transcript has 2 exons. NCBI's taxonomy places the organism in Eukaryota, Metazoa, Chordata, Aves, Columbiformes, Columbidae. The record is from RefSeq and is a predicted model, not a curated record.